RNAcentral lists this ribosomal RNA (253 nucleotides) under uncultured bacterium. RNAcentral describes it as "partial 16S ribosomal RNA". It matches the Rfam family "Bacterial small subunit ribosomal RNA", at positions 524 to 776 of the family's 1533-position model. The record is from RNAcentral.
UACGGGGGGGGCAAGCGUUGUUCGGAAUUACUGGGCGUAAAGGGCGCGUAGGCGGCUAGAUAAGUCUGUCGUGAAAGCCCGUGGCUUAACCAUAGAAUUGCGGUUGAUACUGUUUGGCUUGAGUGCGGGAGAGGAGGGUGGAAUUCCACGUGUAGCGGUGAAAUGCGUAGAUAUGGGGAAGAACACCGGUUGCGAAGGCGGCUGGCUAGACCGGCACUGACGCUGAGGCGCGAAAGCUAGGGGAGCAAACAGG